This 2414-nucleotide long non-coding RNA is filed under the name Salvia miltiorrhiza (redroot sage). RNAcentral's name for it is "long non-coding RNA (SMIL_LNC010451)". Lineage: Eukaryota; Viridiplantae; Streptophyta; Magnoliopsida; Lamiales; Lamiaceae. The record is from RNAcentral.
CUCACAAAUAGUCUUUAUUUUCAUCACAUUCCUAAUUAUAAAACAUAUACCAUUAAUUUUAAAAUUUAUACCUGCUUGAAAUUUUGUAACAAAUGCCUCAAUUUAACAAUGUGUAUAUAUAUAUAUAUAUAUAUAUACAAGACUAUUACAAAUCCAAUCCGAAUGAGAAACCUACUUCACUAAUGAUACCUUACUUUUAGAGCUCUAGUUUUAUAUACAAAUCAAAUAUGGUGGUUGGUUCUUUAGCAUUGCCAAAACAAGUUCUCUCUGCUUGCCAUUCUCUCUGCCUCAAACAAAUUUGGUUGUUCCUCUGUUUCUCCUGCUGCAACCUUUUUCACUAUUGUAUCUCCUGCUGCAACCUUUUUCACUUCUAAGGUGAAAAGGGCUAUUGGGUAGACUAACUCCUUGAGUGCUGCACACCAAGAGUAAUGACCAUCAACAAAUAAGGUAAAAGAAGUUGAUAGUUGAAAUAGAUUGACAUGUUUACUGAUGCUACCUCGAGUAAUCCAAAAUCUAUUCAAGGAGGAAGAAAUCCAAAAAUAAUAAUACUACAAAGCUCCUAAUACCUAAACAAAGCUAAAGUUACCAUGAUACUAAAAGAUACUUGGCAAUCUAAAAAAAUGAUGGUUUGAGUGGAAUAUACCAUUAGCACUAGCAGUAUGAAGCGUUUUAGCUCUUCGAGAAUCGCUUCAUAGCAGAAGAGAUAUUGUUCCUGCAAAAGGAUGCAUGCAAAUGUAACAGCAAAAUACACAACAACUAUAGCAGAAAUAAAGAACUGUCCAACAACUAUUAGGAGAAAUUUGAAAUCAUCCCCUACAAAUUCUAACAAAGGAGAAAAGUAGUUUGACUGGUAAUUUCUUAAAGUAUAUUCCAAGUCAAGCAUUAUAUCAAAUUGAAACUGAUGUUGAAGCUGCAAGAUAAACAAGGCUUUGCUAUCCAAGAAUGAAAGAUCCUAAUAGAGGAUGACACAAAACAGAAAAUUUCUCAAAUGAACCUUCACAUAACUGAUAACACAACAAGUCGAGACAGCCAUUUCUAUACACGAAAAUUGCACUUUCUAUUAAAAAAGGGAAAAAAGAAAUCAGAACAAGAAGCAUAUUAUGUCUAUGGCUUUCUAUGCCAAGUAGAACAUUGGAUUUCAGUAUUAAGUAUAUUAAAUGAAUAUUGAUCCAUAUACACAAGAUCAUAAAAAUGAUCAUCCCACCACUAGCUAAGUCGCAAAUUAAAAAAGAUUACACAAAACACUCAAUAUUUAAGAGCUACGUGUAUCCUCUGCUACCUAUAAAUCUUCACAGUUAUGCCGCUCUGUUGAAAGAGAUUGGAAACGUGGAAAUAAUUUUCUUGGUAAUCUUUUUCGUUUUCUACAAUUAUUCAAUUAGGUUUAUUAGAACUUUCCAUACACAAUGCUUUACACCAUUUGUUAACACAUAUUAAUUAUCAAUCCCACCCUUCAGUAUAUACCAAUCUCAAGAUUGCCUCAUGUCAUUCACACACAGAUGCAAUAAAAAACGCCUAAAAAAAUAGAUGCUAUGAAAAAUGAAACAUACUAUGAUAAUAAUUAAAGGAUUCGAAUCACUAAGGUUGAAACUUCAACAACACAGAACAUCACUAAUUCAUAGAGCAACACUACUUCAAAUAAAUUUAAUUUUUAUUAACAGCCAUUUCUAUAAUUGUUAAUCACAAACUACAACAAAAAGGCACCAAAAAAACUUACCCCAAAAUCUGUUUCCACACUCAAAGCGCCGCAAUAUACCAGAAUAAGGAGCCUCAGAUCCGAAAAAAAAUAUGUAUUCUAGAUUGUAUGUAUCACUGCAUAAUCUAAAAAUAAAAAUAAAAUUAGGAGAAAUUUAGGAGGAAAAAAUGAAAUUAGAGGCAACGGACUUGAAAUUAGAGACAACGAUCUAUAGAUAAUAGAUCGACUCUAUUACCAGAAUUCAAGCCAAAGGAGUGGCGAGCAACUAUCGCUGCAUGAUCUCGAAGAGAGAGUGGGGAGAGAUUACCUGAAGACGCUGCAAGUUUAGAUACUAUUCCAUGAAUCAGAUUAAUUGCAGGUCUCUUCUCAUUUUCGUUGCAGUGAUUGGAAUAGGAAAAUCUGGUUUUAGGUAAAUCGAUGCAGAAAAUAUGUUUAAGAUUGAGAGAGGAUUGAGAAGAUAUGAAAUCGUUUGUUUGGUUUUUUUUUUUUUUUUUUUUUUUGAAGUCAGAGUCAGCCGAUCGAAAAUGAAGAUUGAAGAGAAUAAAUUCUAGUUUUUACUUUUUGCAUAUGAGGACUUUAACUUUAAGAUAAAUAUAAAAAUGACCCCAUUUUUUAUUUUUGUUUUGAAAUAUAAGAAUUUUAUGUGAUGAUAUUAAAUUUCCUCACAUAAAAUGUACAAAUAUAACAAAAUCUGAUUUUGUCACAAAAGUUUGUCACAAAU